CAGUCGCCGCGGGAAAACGUAGGUGGCAAGCGUUGUCCGGAAUUAUUGGGCGUAAAGCGCGCGCAGGCGGAUCAGUCAGUCUGUCUUAAAAGUUCGGGGCUUAACCCCGUGAGGGGAUGGAAACUGCUGAUCUAGAGUAUCGGAGAGGAAAGUGGAAUUCCUAGUGUAGCGGUGAAAUGCGUAGACAUUAGGAAGAACACCAGUGGCGAAGGCGACUUUCUGGACGAAAACUGACGCUGAGGCGCGAAAGCCAGGGGAGCGAACGGGAUUAGAUACCCCGGUAGUCCCUGUCUCUUAUACA
RNAcentral lists this ribosomal RNA (301 nucleotides) under uncultured bacterium. RNAcentral's name for it is "partial 16S ribosomal RNA". It matches the Rfam family "Bacterial small subunit ribosomal RNA", at positions 509 to 809 of the family's 1533-position model. The record is from RNAcentral.